UCUGCUCAAUGAUUUUUUAAAUUGCUGUGGUAUUUUGACUAUACAAAGGUAUUGAAAUAAGACUUUAAUUGAGUGCUAAGAGAAUGGAAUUACAGGAAAAAUCUUUUUUAAACUUAACAAUUAAAGUUAUUUUUACUUGUGAAGAAACAGUAAUAAAAAUUAAGGACAAGAAGACCCUAAGAAUUUUUAGAAACAUAUUUCAAUAAAGAAGAUAUGUUUCUUUAAUUGGGGCGAUUAAUUAAUAUUAAAAACUUUUUUGAAAAAACAUGAACCGUUUAAUAGCGGUAAAUUGGAAAAAAUACUCUAGGGAUAACAGCGUAAUAAUUUUCGAUAGUUCAUAUUGACAAAAUAGUUUGCGACCUCGAUGUUGGAUUAGGAUAUUUUCUUUCAAUGAAGAAGUAAAUGUCUGCUCGAAUGUCGACGAUCG
RNAcentral lists this ribosomal RNA (427 nucleotides) under Amblyomma mixtum. RNAcentral describes it as "partial large subunit ribosomal RNA". The record is from RNAcentral. Lineage: Eukaryota; Metazoa; Arthropoda; Arachnida; Ixodida; Ixodidae.